Molecule: long non-coding RNA, 1570 nt
Filed under: Lathyrus oleraceus (garden pea)
Lineage: Eukaryota; Viridiplantae; Streptophyta; Magnoliopsida; Fabales; Fabaceae
Description: Pisum sativum (pea) long non-coding RNA (PSAT_LNC004104)
Source: RNAcentral
GGGGAUCCAAUAUUCUCUCCCAAUUGGAUACAUGUGACAUGAUGUGGUUGGUGGAGGAAAAUUUUCAAAAAAUUGAAAGAAAAAAAAAGGGUUAUCAUGUGUUGACCGGAGGAGGGGGUUAAAAAAGAUUCAUUCGCUCACUCUCAUUUAGAGAGUUUUUUGAAAUUUUCUCUAAAAGCUCUCAAAACACUCAUGAACCAAACCUUCCAUCUACGCUUCCACCCUCAUCAGCCGCUCACAACCUCACCCUCUACUUCCCUUUGAACCACCCUUAACUGAAUCUCUGCUCACCUCCACCACGAUUUUGGCCAAGCUACAAAAAGCUAAACCAACGGUGACACCCUUUCCUUGUUUCUUUUCACUCGAUAACCACCAUGAAGUAACUUUCAACCAUCGCUGACUAACUCUCUCCGCCACCACUCUGUUCGCCUCACUCCAUAUCGUGAACCGCCACUGCUACACAUCAAACAUGAGCACCCUUAUAACCUUUGCAUAAUCGGUGUUGGUGACUUUCUUCACGUUUCACAAUAACAUCUUCAACAACACUAAGCAACAACAUUCAACUCAGUAACAUUAGCAACAAAGCACAUUUAAGUAAGCUUAACUACCCUUUGAAGUGAUGUAUACAACUCACUUUUUGUUUUAUGUUUUCACCAACUGCCAACUUCGAUGAUGUUUCGGUAAUACUCGAAUCGAGUUUUCUGUGCUUGUGAUGUUUCUUUUGAUGAUUUCGGUUCGAUAUAAUGCAAGUGAAUUGGAUAUAAUUUGGUAGUUGGUGACUAUAAUUUUUUAUUUCUACUUUUUCUAUUGUAAAUAAUAAUGUGUGGAGACUAUUUCUUUGUUUCAUUUUUGUGUUAAAAAUCGGACAGGUCCACGUGUGAGACAUCCUUCAUAUGUCGUUGCUUUGCCGAAUUUUUCAUUCGACAUAUUUAUGACAUCACAUUACGGUAACGGUACAUUUUUGCUUUUAAAUUUUUUUGUUUGUUUCUUUGUGUAAAAUGUAUUAAAUAUGCUUCUUGUUGAUUGCGAUUUGAUUUCGUGGCGGUGUUAAUGUUUCUUGCUGUUUCGAUUCGAUUUCAUGGCGAUGUUAAUGGCUUUUUCGUUGUUUAUGUUUUUAAUGUGAUGAACCUUGAAAAUAACUCAGGCAGUGAUACUUAUAUCAUGUUUCAUGUGCAUUGAUCUCAUAAUAACUGUAAUACUAGAACUUGGUAAUAAGUCAGUUGUUUCGAUGUUGUUUGGUCUUAAAGGUCGACUAUCAUAACAUUGCAAUAGUAGCUUCGGGACACUAUUAAUCUACUUUGGUGAGAUAUUGCAUUUUGUUGCAUAUUUCGGUUUGAUUAUUUGGUUUUUUUUUUUUACUGUUGUUGUUGAGCACUGUAAUUAAUUUUAAGAGCAUGUAAAUAUAACUUUAUGUAGUAACUUUCAACUUUGUCAUAUUUGAUUUUUAUUGCAUCUUAAUCGGAUUUUUAUUCUGCGGAUUGGAUAUUUUCAUGUCGUUAUGUUGUCAUACUUUUUAUCGAUAUAUUAAUUGUAUUUUGCCACAUUAUGACCCUUGCAUAUGACAUUUCAU